RNAcentral lists this ribosomal RNA (492 nucleotides) under uncultured bacterium. RNAcentral's name for it is "partial 16S ribosomal RNA". It matches the Rfam family "Bacterial small subunit ribosomal RNA", at positions 29 to 507 of the family's 1533-position model. The record is from RNAcentral.
AGUGAACGCUGGCGGCAGGCCUAACACAUGCAAGUCGAACGGCAGCACAGUAAGAGUUUGCUCUUACGGGUGGCGAGUGGCGGACGGGUGAGGAAUACAUCGGAAUCUACUUUUUCGUGGGGGAUAACGUAGGGAAACUUACGCUAAUAUCGCAUACGACCUACGGGUGAAAGCAGGGGAUCUUCGGAUCUUGCGCGAUUGAACUAGCCGAUGUCGGACUUGCUAGUUGGCGGGGUAAAGGCCCACCAUGGCGACGAUCCGUAUCUGGUCUGAGAGGAUGAUCGGCCACCCUGGAACUGAGACACGGUCCAGACUCCUACGGGAGGCAGCAGUGGGGAAUAUUGGACAAUGGGCGCAAGCCUGAUCCAGCCAUACCGCGUGGGUGAAGAAGGCCUUCGGGUUGUAAAGCCCUUUUGUUGGGGAAGAAAAGCAGCAGGUUAAUACCCCGCUGUUCUGACGGUACCCAAAAAAUAAGCACCGGCUAACUUCGUG